GACGAACGCUGGCGGCGCGCUUAAAACAUGCAAGUCGAACGUGAAGCUCGGAGCUUGCUCCGGGUGGAAAGUGGCGAACGGGUGAGGAACACGUGAGGAACCUGCCCCGAAGACCGGGAUAACACCGGGAAACCGGUGCUAAUACCGGAUGUCCUCACCGGACCGCAUGAUCCGGUGAGGAAAUGGAUUCCGCUUCGGGAUGGCCUCGCGCCCUAUCAGCUUGUUGGUGAGGUAACGGCUCACCAAGGCUACGACGGGUAGCUGGUCUGAGAGGAUGUCCAGCCACACUGGGACUGAGACACGGCCCAGACUCCUACGGGAGGCAGCAGUUAGGAAUCUUGCGCAAUGAGCGAAAGCUUGACGCAGCGACGCCGCGUGCGGGAUGACGGCCCUCGGGUUGUAAACCGCUUUCAGCAGGGACGAAAUUGACGGUACCUGCAGAAGAAGCCCCGGCCAACUACGUGC
RNAcentral lists this ribosomal RNA (465 nucleotides) under uncultured bacterium. RNAcentral describes it as "bacterial SSU rRNA". It matches the Rfam family "Bacterial small subunit ribosomal RNA", at positions 28 to 508 of the family's 1533-position model. The record is from RNAcentral.